GGCGGAUGUACCCAAGUGGAUCAAGGCCUUGAAUUUGUUAUUCCACCAUGCGCGAC
Molecule: transfer RNA, 56 nt
Filed under: Pleroma velutinum
Lineage: Eukaryota; Viridiplantae; Streptophyta; Magnoliopsida; Myrtales; Melastomataceae
Description: Tibouchina velutina partial tRNA-His
Source: RNAcentral